UAUGAUCCAAUUGAGUCGUAUAGGAACGCUUUCCUUUAUUACGCUCGAUACUUCGGCUGAAGAUUCCCGAAUCAUAUCUUAGAGUAUUCUUCCUCUCUUAUCGAGGAUUAGAGAUUCCUUGUUGCGCAUACACUUGCCUUCAUGACUAAGUGGCUUAACCCCAACUAUGCCGUUGACAUUCUGAUAGAGUGACUUCGACAUAAUCAAAGAUUAAGUACUUAACCACAAGACAACGACGAUGCCUCAGGUCAAAGGAUUACUUACAUUAUUCCAACCAUUUGAGUUACUUGCUUGACAUUUAAGUAGACCUCCAUGCAAGUACUCUGAUUUGAUUGUAUUCAGUGAACUCAUUCCCUUAAUGAGCACAUACAUACUUGUCUUAGUGUCACAACACGAAUGGGUUGAGACUUUCCAUCCUUCCAAUUGAAGCGGACACAGC
This 439-nucleotide long non-coding RNA is filed under the name Malus domestica (apple). RNAcentral's name for it is "long non-coding RNA (MDOM_LNC009246)". The record is from RNAcentral. Lineage: Eukaryota; Viridiplantae; Streptophyta; Magnoliopsida; Rosales; Rosaceae.